This 994-nucleotide ribosomal RNA is filed under the name uncultured bacterium. RNAcentral's name for it is "bacterial SSU rRNA". It matches the Rfam family "Bacterial small subunit ribosomal RNA", at positions 355 to 1375 of the family's 1533-position model. The record is from RNAcentral.
UGGGGAAUAUUGCACAAUGGGGGAAACCCUGAUGCAGCGACGCCGCGUGAAGGAAGAAGUAUUUCGGUAUGUAAACUUCUAUCAGCAGGGAAGAAGAUGACGGUACCUGAGUAAGAAGCACCGGCUAAAUACGUGCCAGCAGCCGCGGUAAUACGUAUGGUGCAAGCGUUAUCCGGAUUUACUGGGUGUAAAGGGAGCGUAGACGGAUAGGCAAGUCUGGAGUGAAAACCCAGGGCUCAACCCUGGGACUGCUUUGGAAACUGCAGAUCUGGAGUGCCGGAGAGGUAAGCGGAAUUCCUAGUGUAGCGGUGAAAUGCGUAGAUAUUAGGAGGAACACCAGUGGCGAAGGCGGCCUACUGGGCACCAACUGACGCUGAGGCUCGAAAGUGUGGGUAGCAAACAGGAUUAGAUACCCUGGUAGUCCACACCGUAAACGAUGAUUACUAGGUGUUGGAGGAUUGACCCCUUCAGUGCCGCAGUUAACACAAUAAGUAAUCCACCUGGGGAGUACGACCGCAAGGUUGAAACUCAAAGGAAUUGACGGGGGCCCGCACAAGCAGUGGAGUAUGUGGUUUAAUUCGACGCAACGCGAAGAACCUUACCAAGUCUUGACAUCCCUUGACAGGCAUAGAAAUAUGUUUUCUCUUCGGAGCAAGGAGACAGGUGGUGCAUGGUUGUCGUCAGCUCGUGUCGUGAGAUGUUGGGUUAAGUCCCGCAACGAGCGCAACCCCUAUUGUUAGUUGCUACGCAAGAGCACUCUAGCGAGACUGCCGUUGACAAAACGGAGGAAGGUGGGGACGACGUCAAAUCAUCAUGCCCCUUAUGUCCUGGGCUACACACGUAAUACAAUGGCGGUCAACAGAGGGAUGCAAAGCCGUAAGGUGGAGCGAACCCCUAAAAGCCGUCUCAGUUCAGAUUGUGGGCUGCAACCCGCCCACAUGAAGUCGGAAUCGCUAGUAAUCGCGGAUCAGCAUGCCGCGGUGAAUACGUUCCC